GGCGGCGUGCUUAACACAUGCAAGUCGAACGAUGAUGCCCAGCUUGCUGGGUGGAUUAGUGGCGAACGGGUGAGUAACACGUGAGUAACCUGCCCCUGACUCUGGGAUAAGCGUUGGAAACGACGUCUAAUACUGGAUAUGACUGCCGGCCGCAUGGUCUGGUGGUGGAAAGAUUUUUUGGUUGGGGAUGGACUCGCGGCCUAUCAGCUUGUUGGUGAGGUAAUGGCUCACCAAGGCGACGACGGGUAGCCGGCCUGAGAGGGUGACCGGCCACACUGGGACUGAGACACGGCCCAGACUCCUACGGGAGGCAGCAGUGGGGAAUAUUGCACAAUGGGCGAAAGCCUGAUGCAGCAACGCCGCGUGAGGGAUGACGGCCUUCGGGUUGUAAACCUCUUUUAGUAGGGAAGAAGGGAGCUUGCUCUUGACGGUACCUGCAGAAAAAGCACCGGCUAACUA
Molecule: ribosomal RNA, 459 nt
Filed under: Curtobacterium sp. R1_7_cr
Lineage: Bacteria; Bacillati; Actinomycetota; Actinomycetes; Micrococcales; Microbacteriaceae
Description: bacterial SSU rRNA
Rfam family: Bacterial small subunit ribosomal RNA
Source: RNAcentral